UACGUAGGGUCCAAGCGUUAUCCGGAAUUACUGGGCGUAAAGAGUUUCGUAGGUGGCAUAGUAAGCGGGUAGUGAAAUGACGGGGCUCAACCUCGUGUCCAUUACCUGAACUGCUAAGCUAGAGAACGAGAGAGGUUAUUGGAAUUCCCAGUGUAGGAGUGAAAUCCGUAGAUAUUGGGAGGAACACCGAUGGCGUAGGCAGAUAACUGGCUCGUUUCUGACACUAAGGCACGAAAGCGUGGGGAGCAAACGGG
Molecule: ribosomal RNA, 254 nt
Filed under: uncultured bacterium
Lineage: Bacteria
Description: partial 16S ribosomal RNA
Rfam family: Bacterial small subunit ribosomal RNA
Source: RNAcentral